CAAAAUAGAUGUGUUAAAAUUGGAAAAGGUAUAGAGAAAGGCAACAAAAAUUAUUAAGGGUAUGGGACAGCUUCUGUAGGAGGAUAGAUUAAAAAGACUGGGACUUUUACGG
This is a non-coding RNA of Chelonoidis abingdonii (Abingdon island giant tortoise), 112 nucleotides long. The record is from RefSeq and is a predicted model, not a curated record. Lineage: Eukaryota; Metazoa; Chordata; Testudines; Testudinidae.